RNAcentral lists this long non-coding RNA (320 nucleotides) under Androctonus crassicauda. Lineage: Eukaryota; Metazoa; Arthropoda; Arachnida; Scorpiones; Buthidae. The record is from RNAcentral.
UUUUAAUAUAAGAAAGUGAGUGCUUUCCUCUUUUUAGACAUAUAUAAUGAAAAAAAAAGUAUCAUAUAUACUCAUAUAUAAGCUGAGGAUUUUUUUGGAAAAAAUUUUUUUGAAGAAGGAAGUCGGCUUAUACAUGGGGCAGUCGAAAUUUGGAAAUUUUUCACAGGAUCACAAGAUUCACAGAUUCACUUGCAACAUUUCCAUGAUGCCUUCAUGCCAGCCAUGCAAUUCUUCAUAUUUAUUCCUAAUAAUGAUUAUUAUCAUCAUCAUCUUACUGAUUUAUUUUUAUUUUUUUCUGUUGAAGAAUGUAGAUAUGUAUG